CCUGGCUCAGGAUGAACGCUAGCUACAGGCUUAACACAUGCAAGUCGAGGGGCAGCAUAUCGAAGCUUGCUUGAUAGAUGGCGACCGGCGCACGGGUGAGUAACGCGUAUCCAACCUUCCCAUCACUCAGGGAUAGCCCGCCGAAAGGCGAAUUAAUACCUGAUGGUCUCCUUUGCAGACAUCUAACGAGGAGUAAAGAUUCAUUGGUGAUGGAUGGGGAUGCGUCUGAUUAGGUAGUAGGCGGGGUAACGGCCCACCUAGCCGACGAUCAGUAGGGGUUCUGAGAGGAAGGUCCCCCACAUUGGAACUGAGACACGGUCCAAACUCCUACGGGAGGCAGCAGUGAGGAAUAUUGGUCAAUGGACGGAAGUCUGAACCAGCCAAGUAGCGUGCAAGGAUGACGGCCCUAUGGGUUGUAAACUGCUUUUGUGCGGGAAUAAAGUAUGGGACGUGUCCCAUUUUGCAUGUACCGCACGAAUAAGGACCGGCUAAUUCCGUGCCAGCAGCCGC
This 510-nucleotide ribosomal RNA is filed under the name uncultured bacterium. RNAcentral's name for it is "bacterial SSU rRNA". It matches the Rfam family "Bacterial small subunit ribosomal RNA", at positions 18 to 518 of the family's 1533-position model. The record is from RNAcentral.